CAGAUCAGGCAAAUGUGAACCAAUCGAAACAAGAAGACCUGCUGCUGCCCUUUGCCAAUCAGCAUUGAGUUCCUACAAAAGAGAAUAUUUAAAAGAUGUGAGAAGUCCAGAUUGCGUCCAUUUACCAUGUAUUACAAAUAGCUCCAGUGCAAGUGAAUUAACCACAAAUUCAGAUAUAUUCCUAAUGAUCAUUGUUCAUAAUUCAAACUCGUUUUUCACCAACAUUUCAAACUAUAUUACCUCAAUGUGGACUGCCUAGCACCACCUGCUGCCCAUUUUAAGUGGUUUUUGUGUUGGGUCUGUUUUCAAUCUGUUUUUACUU
Magnolia sinica is the source of this 322-nucleotide long non-coding RNA. RefSeq lists it as uncharacterized. Lineage: Eukaryota; Viridiplantae; Streptophyta; Magnoliopsida; Magnoliales; Magnoliaceae. The transcript has 2 exons. The record is from RefSeq and is a predicted model, not a curated record.